CCCUUAGAUGUUCUGGGCCGCACGCGCGCUACACUGAUGCAUUCAACGAGUUCCUACCUUGGCCGAGAGGCCUGGGCAAUCUUUUGAACUUGCAUCGUGAUAGGGAUAGAUUAUUGCAAUUAUUAAUCUUGAACGAGGAAUUCCUAGUAAACGCAGAUCAUCAAUCUGCAUUGAUUACGUCCCUGCCCUUUGUACACACCGCCCGUCGCACCUACCGAUUGAAUGGUCCGGUGAAGCCUCGGGAUUGUGGUUAGUUUCCUUCAUUGGAAGUUAGCCGAGAGAACUUGUCUAAACCUUAUCAUUUAGAGGAAGGUGAAGUCGUAACA
RNAcentral lists this ribosomal RNA (326 nucleotides) under uncultured eukaryote. RNAcentral describes it as "partial 18S ribosomal RNA". It matches the Rfam family "Eukaryotic small subunit ribosomal RNA", at positions 1470 to 1796 of the family's 1831-position model. The record is from RNAcentral.